GACGAACGCUGGCGGCGUGCUUAACACAUGCAAGUCGAACGGAAAGGCCCUGCUUUUGUGGGGUGCUCGAGUGGCGAACGGGUGAGUAACACGUGAGUAACCUGCCCUUGACUUUGGGAUAACUUCAGGAAACUGGGGCUAAUACCGGAUAGGAGCUCCUGCUGCAUGGUGGGGGUUGGAAAGUUUCGGCGGUUGGGGAUGGACUCGCGGCUUAUCAGCUUGUUGGUGGGGUAGUGGCUUACCAAGGCUUUGACGGGUAGCCGGCCUGAGAGGGUGACCGGCCACAUUGGGACUGAGAUACGGCCCAGACUCCUACGGGAGGCAGCAGUGGGGAAUAUUGCACAAUGGGCGGAAGCCUGAUGCAGCAACGCCGCGUGCGGGAUGACGGCCUUCGGGUUGUAAACCGCUUUCGCCUGUGACGAAGCGUGAGUGACGGUAAUGGGUAAAGAAGCACCGGCUAACUACGUGCCAGCAGCCGCGGUGAUACGUAGGGUGCGAGCGUUGUCCGGAUUUAUUGGGCGUAAAGGGCUCGUAGGUGGUUGAUCGCGUCGGAAGUGUAAUCUUGGGGCUUAACCCUGAGCGUGCUUUCGAUACGGGUUGACUUGAGGAAGGUAGGGGAGAAUGGAAUUCCUGGUGGAGCGGUGGAAUGCGCAGAUAUCAGGAGGAACACCAGUGGCGAAGGCGGUUCUCUGGGCCUUUCCUGACGCUGAGGAGCGAAAGCGUGGGGAGCGAACAGGCUUAGAUACCCUGGUAGUCCACGCUGUAAACGGUGGGUACUAGGUGUGGGGUCCAUUCCACGGGUUCCGUGCCGUAGCUAACGCUUUAAGUACCCCGCCUGGGGAGUACGGCCGCAAGGCUAAAACUCAAAGGAAUUGACGGGGCCCCGCACAAGCGGCGGAGCAUGCGGAUUAAUUCGAUGCAACGCGUAGAACCUUACCUGGGUUUGACAUGGAUCGGGAGCGCUCAGAGAUGGGUGUGCCUCUUUUGGGGUCGGUUCACAGGUGGUGCAUGGCUGUCGUCAGCUCGUGUCGUGAGAUGUUGGGUUAAGUCCCGCAACGAGCGCAACCCUUGUUCACUGUUGCCAGCACGUUAUGGUGGGGACUCAGUGGAGACCGCCGGGGUCAACUCGGAGGAAGAUGGGGAUGACGUCAAGUCAUCAUGCCCCUUAUGUCCAGGGCUUCACGCAUGCUACAAUGGCUGGUACAGAGAGUGGCGAGCCUGUGAGGGUGAGCGAAUCUCGGAAAGCCGGUCUCAGUUCGGAUUGGGGUCUGCAACUCGACCUCAUGAAGUCGGAGUCGCUAGUAAUCGCAGAUCAGCAACGCUGCGGUGAAUACGUUCCUGGG
RNAcentral lists this ribosomal RNA (1343 nucleotides) under uncultured bacterium. RNAcentral's name for it is "16S ribosomal RNA". It matches the Rfam family "Bacterial small subunit ribosomal RNA", at positions 28 to 1378 of the family's 1533-position model. The record is from RNAcentral.